GUAGGUGGCAAGCGUUGUCCGGACUUAUUGGGCGUAAAGCGCGCGCAGGUGGUUCUUUAAGUCUGAUGUGAAAGCCCCCGGCUCAACCGGGGAGGGUCAUUGGAAACUGGGGAACUUGAGUGCAGGAGAGGAAAGUGGAAUUCCACGUGUAGCGGUGAAAUGCGUAGAUAUGUGGAGGAACACCAGUGGCGAAGGCGACUUUCUGGCCUGUAACUGACACUGAGGCGCGAAAGCGUGGGGAGCAAACAGGGAUUAGAUACCCUGGUAGUCCACGCCGUAAACGAUGAGUGCUAAGUGUUGGGGGGGUUUCCCGCCCCUCAGUGCUGCAGCUAACGCAUUAAGCACUCCGCCUGGGGAGUACGGUCGCAAGACUG
This 374-nucleotide ribosomal RNA is filed under the name uncultured organism. RNAcentral's name for it is "partial 16S ribosomal RNA". It matches the Rfam family "Bacterial small subunit ribosomal RNA", at positions 527 to 896 of the family's 1533-position model. The record is from RNAcentral.